GAAACUUGAGGCUAGGCUGACCCCAUGGUUGUUAUGAUUAGAAAUCCGAGGCCACUGGAAACCCGGAGCUGCUGACAAACGAGUCACAGAGUAACUUCGCCUUCGCAUGGGGAAACGGGCUGGUGCAGUGAUGUCAUCUUGGCUCAGUGCAGCCUCGACUUCCUGGGAUCCGAUCCUCCCGCUUCAGCCUCUAGAGUAGCCGAGACCACAGGAUUUGCAAGAGGGCAGGAGAGAAAAAUGAACUGCAAGACUCCAGCACAAGAGGUGGGAUUGCUGGCAGAUGUCUGCUCCCUCUCCAAACCUAAUGAACAUCUCAAAGUGCCAUCCACUUUCCUAUACCCUUGAUCUGUGAAAUGGAUCACUGACGCUUUCUCUGUCUUUCCGGAAAUGCAAAACAGG
RNAcentral lists this non-coding RNA (399 nucleotides) under Pan troglodytes (chimpanzee). Lineage: Eukaryota; Metazoa; Chordata; Mammalia; Primates; Hominidae. The record is from RNAcentral.